This 613-nucleotide long non-coding RNA is filed under the name Vulpes vulpes (red fox). RNAcentral's name for it is "lncRNA (ENSVVUG00000021799.1)". The record is from RNAcentral. Lineage: Eukaryota; Metazoa; Chordata; Mammalia; Carnivora; Canidae.
AUUUUUCUAAACAAAGAUUAAAUAUGUGACAAGAAGACUGAAGUGCCGAAACAAGACCUCGAAGUGUAGUCUACACAAAUGACUCUCAAACACCGAUCCACUCUCUGGUCUUAGGUUUGGCAACAUUUUUAUAGCCUAUGGGAAAAUAAGAGUAAUAAGAGUAAUCUGGUGAGUUUAUCAUUAGGUUAAAUUGGCUCAAUUUAAAGAGCUGUCCAUUCUGAAAUUGUGUCCUUGCCCUUUUACGGGGUCACUAAAUGUUCCUUCUUACAAAAAACGUUGGUGAUAGUAAAUGGCAACUUUUUUGUUUUGCUCUGUUUUAAUGUUCUUAAGCAGGAAAAAAGAGUUCUAUGUUUGAUCUCUUUUUUAUUUUUUAUUUUCUGCUUCCUGGAAUCCAGAAAUCUGAGAACCAUAGGCAACUCUAACCUCUGCAUAUAUUUGGUACAUAUUUUGUAUACAUGUCUAUUCAUCAAUUCAGACUUUACAAACAGAAGGCCGAGUUACUUCAAUGGACUUUUGCUCAGUGGCAGAAAUCUACAGAUCCAUGUUUUAACACGUCUAAGGUACUCCAGAGACAAAGGUACAAUGGAAACACACAUUUAUGAUGGCAGCAGAU